UACACUCCUGCGGGAGGCAGCAGUGGGGAAUAUUGGACAAUGGGCGCAAGCCUGAUCCAGCCAUGCCGCGUGAGUGAUGAAGGCCCUAGGGUUGUAAAGCUCUUUCACCGGUGAAGAUAAUGACGGUAACCGGAGAAGAAGCCCCGGCUAACUUCGUGCAAGCAGCCGCGGUAAUACGAAGGGGGCUAGCGUUGUUCGGAUUUACUGGGCGUAAAGCGCACGUAGGCGGACUAUUAAGUCAGGGGUGAAAUCCCGGGGCUCAACCCCGGAACUGCCUUUGAUACUGGUAGUCUUGAGUUCGAGAGAGGUGAGUGGAAUUCCGAGUGUAGAGGUGAAAUUCGUAGAUAUUCGGAGGAACACCAGUGGCGAAGGCGGCUCACUGGCUCGAUACUGACGCUGAGGUGCGAAAGCGUGGGGAGCAAACAGGAUUAGAAACCCCUGUAGUCCCAUG
RNAcentral lists this ribosomal RNA (451 nucleotides) under uncultured organism. RNAcentral's name for it is "partial 16S ribosomal RNA". It matches the Rfam family "Bacterial small subunit ribosomal RNA", at positions 332 to 799 of the family's 1533-position model. The record is from RNAcentral.